CCUCCAUCUGCACCCUCCGCCAUUACUCAUUCGGCAUUCUGCCCCCUCCUUCCGCUCGUUAAGCCUGAUUUGCAUACAUUUGCAUAAUACAACUUAUUUGCAUUCCAGGAGGCUCAUGGUAGGAGCCAGGAAAAAAGGGGAGGGGGGUUGUAGAAGAGAGAAAAGGGGAGAAAUUUUGUUUUCAUCAAAGUGUGUGCGCGCGCGCGCACGCGUGUGUGUGUGUGUGUGUGUGUGUGUGUGUGUGUGUGUUGGGGGGGAGGUGGCAGGAAGAGGAUGGAAAUAAAAACUCACACUACUUUCUUUCUUCCCUUCUGCCCUCUCUCCCUCUGCUGGACUAAAGUGCCAAAGAGAGAUGCCAAGGGGCCGGCUUUUCUGUCCUUUUUUGUUUUGCUUCCUCUGGCCUUGGCUCCCCAGCCCGGCCCCCCACCUUGCUGGGCUCAGGCUUCAGAAAGAAAGAGGCAAGGGUAAGAGGCAAGGCUGUGGGAACGAAAGCAGAGGGAGACAGGGAGGCCGCCAUCUUAGGUAGCUGGCGCCUAUAAAAUGGCCGCCUCUCCAGAGCUGAGAGCUGGCCUGGUUGGUGGACGUGGAGGGAGGUGAGAUGUCAGGGCUUUAUGGCUGACCAGGAACAUUGUUGAGUCUUCCUACUAGUGAAACUGGGAAGAGAGGAUGGAGAGAGAAGGAAGGAGGGAGAGAUGAGGAAGGGGCAGCCCCCGAAGAGAUGUGAGCCUCACACAGGAGCAGCCGCGGUAGAGAGGCCUCCACGCUGGCCUUGGUUCCAGACCCCUCCAUGGAGAGAGAAGGAAGGAGGGAGAGAUGAGGAAGGGGCAGCCCCCGAAGAGAUGUGAGCCUCACACAGGAGCAGCCGCGGUAGAGAGGCCUCCACGCUGGCCUUGGUUCCAGACCCCUCCUGAGCGCCAAUGGUCAGAGGACUUGAAGGACUGGGGGUGACGCAAAAAAUACCGGAGGAAUCAGAACUGGGGGUGUCAGCAGGAGGAGGGAGAGGGUAAGGUGUGGGCAGGCAGGAUCAUCUGCCAGUUUAGGGUGGGGGUCUCUCUGGGGCCUGUGAAGGGCCACCAUGUACUUGAGGCGAAGCUCCAAGUCAUCUCUCCUCAGCCCUGCAGUCCGGCUUCCAUCUUCGUAACUCUGGUGACACUGUGCCCUCUCAGGCCGCUCAACCUCCUCGCUCGGACCCAACGGCCCUUGCUCAGGUCUGGUGACUUUUGUGGAACAUUUCAUGCUGAUGUCCAUCGUGUCUUCACCUUUGGCCUUUGGUUCUUCUGUGAUAUCCCUGAUUAUUCAUUCUGGGUUCUCUUCUCUCAGUCCGCUGGGUUGACCAGUCCUCCAGCCAAAAGUAUGUUCCCCAAGGUUCUACUGUCACCUUUGUUUUUUUCCUUCCUACUCACUUUCAUUCACUUUUAUCACCUCAGCCAUCAGCCAAAGUUAUAAACGCUCGUUCAUUUCUCUAGUCUUGGCUUCUUAUAAACUCCAGAUUGUACCCUAACUGCUACCUGUGGUCCUGCCAUUAGCUCCCAGGUCAGAGACUGGACUGGUGCAUCUGAUUGGCUAAGCCUAGACCCAACGCCCAGGCCCCAGCUGCAAGGAGGGCCAGGAAGGUGCUAUGCUGAAGAGGAAGGUGGAAUACAAAGCUUCUUUGAGGAGCUAACCGUCCAGCAGGGGAGGCAGACACACAAUUACAUGGCAUGUGGAGACUGCUGUCCUGAAGACGUGUGCAAAGUGCUGUGGGAGCAGGUGGGGAGGGAACUGUGGGCCACCUUGGGGGAGUUAAGGAAGGGUUCCUGGAGGGGGCCAAAAUGUUGGUGAUGAAAGAUAAAGGGAAUAAAAGUGAUAAAAGGUAAGCAAGGAGUUGUCAGUCUAAGGAGUUUGAGGAAGUGGGUGGUGGAGAGUGGACAGUGUACGUGAAAGCAAGGACGUAGGGAAGAGCAUGGUGCCUUAGGGGACUGGAACAUCCAUCAGAGGGAGUCUGGGCUGGGGGAGAUGGGAAGUGGAAGCAGAAAUUCCAUUAUUAAGAGCUUUAUCUGCUCCAUGAGGGAGGCUGCAUUUGAUGGGGAUUCUGAGAAGUUAGCUGACAGCCUCAGGGAUGCUGGGUGCAGGGUAUGGCUGCGACAAGGACACCCGCAUCUAGCUGCCCACUGAGCCCAGCACCCAACCAGACACUUAACUGGCUCUUGGCUAGUUCUGAAGAAAGGAAGGAACGUAUGAAAGGCCUGGAAGCCACCUGAGGAAGAGUCUCUGCCUCUCCCCCUCCAGAACCGCCCACGCCCCACAGAUCCUAACUUCCUUCCACGGUUGUCCUGAGGACCAAAUGGGUCAGUGUCAAUGAGAGUGCUUCGUAAGGCUGUGUGCAGAUGUCGUGUUAAUUCUAAAUGCUGAGGGACACAGAGGGGCCAUUGCAGGUAGGUGGGAACAAUCAGAGAAGGCUUCCAGGGUUUGGAAACGAGAGCAGGGAUUGCUGGAGAGGAGAGUGAAGGGAGUCUGGGUGCAAUCUAUGGUGGAGCC
RNAcentral lists this long non-coding RNA (2517 nucleotides) under Equus caballus (horse). RNAcentral's name for it is "lncRNA (ENSECAG00000034932.3)". Lineage: Eukaryota; Metazoa; Chordata; Mammalia; Perissodactyla; Equidae. The record is from RNAcentral.